This 347-nucleotide unclassified non-coding RNA is filed under the name soil metagenome. Its description in RNAcentral is "partial contains 5.8S ribosomal RNA, internal transcribed spacer 2, and large subunit ribosomal RNA". The stretch from base 1 to 120 matches the Rfam family "5.8S ribosomal RNA", at positions 35 to 154 of the family's 154-position model. The record is from RNAcentral.
GAUGAAGAACGUAGCGAAAUGCGAUAAGUAAUGUGAAUUGCAGAAUUCAGUGAAUCAUCGAAUCUUUGAACGCACAUUGCGCCCGCUGGUAUUCCGGCGGGCAUGCCUGUUCGAGCGUCAUUUCAACCCUCAAGCCCCCGGGUUUGGUGUUGGGGAUCGGCUCUGCCCUUCUGGGCGGUGCCGCCCCCGAAAUACAUUGGCGGUCUCGCUGCAGCCUCCAUUGCGUAGUAGCUAACACCUCGCAACUGGAACGCGGCGCGGCCAUGCCGUAAAACCCCAACUUCUGAAUGUUGACCUCGGAUCAGGUAGGAAUACCCGCUGAACUUAAGCAUAUCAAUAAGCGGAGG